UCUGGGGAGGGGGUCCCUCAGCCUGGAUUGCAAGAGGGUGCAGGCCACGUCGAGGGACCCUACUGGUGCACA
This 72-nucleotide microRNA precursor is filed under the name Myotis davidii. RNAcentral's name for it is "mir-9193 microRNA precursor family". It matches the Rfam family "mir-9193 microRNA precursor family". The record is from Rfam by way of RNAcentral. Lineage: Eukaryota; Metazoa; Chordata; Mammalia; Chiroptera; Vespertilionidae.